This 457-nucleotide long non-coding RNA is filed under the name Elaeis guineensis (African oil palm). RNAcentral describes it as "long non-coding RNA (EGUI_LNC047247)". Lineage: Eukaryota; Viridiplantae; Streptophyta; Magnoliopsida; Arecales; Arecaceae. The record is from RNAcentral.
AAAUAUUUCAAUAUAGUCCUACCGUUCACUUAGCAACAAAUGGUGUUAAGUUUCUAUUUUAAUAGAUGAAAAAUAUUCUUUGCUGAUAUUGGAUGGAUCACUGGCAAGGAAAUGAUGGAGGUAGAGAGAGUUGCCAUGUAGGAAAAGGAUGGGAUCAUAGAGAUUGGCUUGGAAAGGGAGGAUGGUGUCAAAGACCUCAUAGGCGGGAUUAGAGGAGAAGGAAGAUGAGAAGGAGUUAAGAGGAAGGGGAGGAGAAGGAGAGAGAGAACUCAUGGGUGGGCUUAGAAAAAGAAGAAGAUGAUGAAGAGAAAUAGAUGAGGAGGAAGGAGAUGAGGAAGAAAGAGGGGCUACCGCAAGAAAGAGCGGAGAUGGAGAGAGCUACCAUAGAGGAGAAGGGAUUAUGAGUAGGCUUGGAGGAAGAGAAGGAAAAAAGAAUCAUGGGUGAGCUUGGUGGAGG